Molecule: non-coding RNA, 46 nt
Organism: Schistosoma rodhaini
Lineage: Eukaryota; Metazoa; Platyhelminthes; Trematoda; Strigeidida; Schistosomatidae
Source: Rfam
GCACUGCUGAGGAGUCCCAUAAUAGGACGAAACGGCCGUCCAUUGU